Struthio camelus australis is the source of this 1241-nucleotide non-coding RNA. The record is from RefSeq and is a predicted model, not a curated record. NCBI's taxonomy places the organism in Eukaryota, Metazoa, Chordata, Aves, Struthioniformes, Struthionidae.
UGCCUGAGGAAAAAGCAACGUGACUCUUCAGCCCGAGGGAGGAAGAACGGGUCCCCUCCCCGCAGCCACACGGAAAACGUAAACUCUAGUGAUGUUUCAGCAGCUACGUUGGAGUUUUCAGCUCAAGCAGGCAAAAUGUGUGGUAGACCCUUGGAGGCCAAAACAAACAACAAAAAAGUAGCUUUUAACAUUUCUUGCGACUUUCAUUCACCAUAAAAAGCUUUUAAAAAUUGUAGAGUCGUUUUCUUCCAGGCUGUGAUCUGCGAGUAGGGAAGGUGAAGCUGAGCUGGGCGAGGAAUGACUCGCAGGCCUGCAAAGUCGUAGUGUAAAGUCGGUGUCGGGCCCGAGUUGUGGGGAGUCCGGGGAGAGCCCAGGAGGAUCCCACCUGGCACAGCACGAGUCUCGGGGCCUUGCUCGAAGCCUGGCGGAGGGAGGCUGACGAGGAGGCAGGUGGCUUCCUGAUGUGCGGACAUCUAAUCUCGACAAAUAUUAGUUGUAUGAUGCUAGUGUUUGGGUAAGGAAGGUUCAGCGGAGCUUUGCCUUUCUGCUUUUGCUAACUGCAGUAGCGUUAAAUGACGUGGGCCAGUUAUGGAUGGUAGCUUGAUACCAGAGACAGUGCAGGUGCCUCUCUUAAGUUCUGCUGGCGUAAUUCCCCUAUAAAGGGCAGGGGGAACUUCCAUUUAUUUGUUUGGGUCAGCUCUUUAAAGGCAGUUUAUAACACAUGGGACAAAAGACCUCAGCAGGCCAGAUUUUGGAAAAAAUAAAAAGAAUCCAAACUCUUUCUGUGAACCCUCGUGGUUAGGAUGGCUGAAUUCAGUGUAUCAAGAACCUCUUGCCUUUGGAAAAACAAGUGGUAGUAAAACAGCUUUUUGUUUUGUUUUGUUUUGUCAGAUCUAAUGGUCAUCUCCCUGUGGCUGGGUAGUUCUUUGUUACCCCAGGCAGAAUAAGACUAAUUAUGGUCCUCAGCAGAAGCAGUCUUUAAGAUCUAAAUUGUCCAUCUUUUAACAAGAGAAGGCAUAGAAUAGCUUUGAUGGAAGAGAAUUUCCUUGGACAGCAGAGUCAUUACCGACCGUGUAUACAGUCUCUUUCAAAGCAGUGUGAGGUGAGGGAGAUAAGCUGGUCAAAAAAGAAAGGGAAAAAAGAAAACAGAGGAACGGCAUACACACUAAGGAACUAGAGAAUGGAGAAGUGAGAUGGAGCUCAAAACUAGCAUGUCAUAAAGAGGGAACAAAGGAAAAAAA